This 454-nucleotide ribosomal RNA is filed under the name uncultured bacterium. Its description in RNAcentral is "bacterial SSU rRNA". It matches the Rfam family "Bacterial small subunit ribosomal RNA", at positions 340 to 786 of the family's 1533-position model. The record is from RNAcentral.
UACGGAAGGCAGCAGUGGGGAAUAUUGCACAAUGGGCGCAAGCCUGAUGCAGCCAUGCCGCGUGUAUGAAGAAGGCCUUCGGGUUGUAAAGUACUUUCAGUCGUGAGGAAGGUGUUAAGGUUAAUAACCUUAGCAAUUGACGUUAGCGACAGAAGAAGCACCGGCUAACUCCGUGCCAGCAGCCGCGGUAAUACGGAGGGUGCGAGCGUUAAUCGGAAUUACUGGGCGUAAAGGGCACGCAGGCGGUUAAUUAAGUUGGAUGUGAAAUCCCCGGGCUUAACCUGGGAAUGGCAUUCAAGACUGGUUAGCUAGAGUCUUGUAGAGGGGGUAGAAUUCCAUGUGUAGCGGUGAAAUGCGUAGAGAUGUGGAGGAAUACCGGUGGCGAAGGCGGCCCCUGGACAAAGACUGACGCUCACGUGCGAAAGCGUGGGGAGCAAACGAGGGAUUAGAUACC